Molecule: ribosomal RNA, 494 nt
Filed under: uncultured bacterium
Lineage: Bacteria
Description: partial 16S ribosomal RNA
Rfam family: Bacterial small subunit ribosomal RNA
Source: RNAcentral
GACGAACGCUGGCGGCGUGCUUAACACAUGCAAGUCGAACGGUGAAGCGCCUUCCUUUUUGGUGGGUGUGGAUGAGUGGCGAACGGGUGAGUAACACGUGAGUAACCUGCCCCCUUCUUCUGGAUAACCGCAUGAAAGUGUGGCUAAUACGGGAUAUUCUGGGUCUGUCGCAUGAUGGGUCUGGGAAAGAUAUUGUUUCGGUGGGGGAUGGGCUCGCGUCCUAUCAGCUUGUUGGUGGGGUGAUGGCCUACCAAGGCGGUGACGGGUAGCCGGCCUGAGAGGGUGGACGGUCACACUGGGACUGAGACACGGCCCAGACUCCUACGGGAGGCAGCAGUGGGGAAUAUUGCACAAUGGGCGCAAGCCUGAUGCAGCGACGCCGCGUGAGGGAUGGAGGCCUUCGGGUUGUGAACCUCUUUCGCCAGUGAAGCAGGCCUGCCUCGUUUGUGGGUGGGUUGACGGUAGCUGGAUAAGAAGCGCCGGCUAACUACGUG